RNAcentral lists this long non-coding RNA (305 nucleotides) under Fukomys damarensis (Damara mole-rat). RNAcentral's name for it is "lncRNA (ENSFDAG00000028590.1)". The record is from RNAcentral. Lineage: Eukaryota; Metazoa; Chordata; Mammalia; Rodentia; Bathyergidae.
CUGACUCUUCCUGGCUUCCUCACUGGUCUACCCUAUGGCCUGGGGUGAGCCAUUUGCCUGCUUUCUGGAAUUGUAUAACUCCAGGGACACAGACUGAGUAUGUUAGAUCCUGGAGUUAUGUAAGGCAGAGGUUCUGCUUUGCCCAUCUGCUUCCUUCAGUGGGAGGUGAGAUGACCUAGUGAGCCCCCAGCUUCACCAAGGAGACCAAAAGUCCAAGACAACAUGAAGAGAGUGGUGAGCUACGUCAGCGCUGGCCUCUUUUCUACCCCAAGAGGAGGUAGGUGAUAAAAGAAUGCAAUACAUAC